RNAcentral lists this ribosomal RNA (255 nucleotides) under uncultured bacterium. RNAcentral describes it as "partial 16S ribosomal RNA". It matches the Rfam family "Bacterial small subunit ribosomal RNA", at positions 524 to 776 of the family's 1533-position model. The record is from RNAcentral.
UACGUAGGUGGCAAGCGUUGUCCGGAUUUAUUGGGUUUAAAGGGUGCGUAGGCGGUUCUAUAAGUCAGUGGUGAAAUCCGGCAGCUCAACUGUCGAUGUGCCAUUGAUACUGCAGAACUUGAGUACAGACGAGGUAGGCGGAAUUGACGGUGUAGCGGUGAAAUGCUUAGAUAUCGUCAAGAACACCGAUAGCGAAGGCAGCUUACUAGACUGUAACUGACGCUGAUGCACGAAAGUGUGGGGGAUCAAAACAGG